AAGGGCCUCGCCAAAAAUCUGAAUCAGACAAAAUCUUUAUCGGCAAACCAUAGUUUUUGUUCGAAGUGAGUCGACGAACUGUAGAGAUAACAAAUCAACUCCCCGCAGAUAAUUGUCGCACACCAAGGCGCCAUAUGCGUGUUGAGAAAAUAAACAAAUAAACCGAAAGGGCCUUGUUUCAUUUCAACAGCAAAGCACUAGCCACAAGUGUAAGUAAUCUAGUUUUCCAUGAAUAAGUCGCAAUAAGCAUAAAUAGUUUCGGAUAGGCAUUUUUAAACAAUCAGGUUCGGGUCUAAGAAGCACAGUUCCUAUUGACAAGUAACUUUAGGCGGGACAUUCGGGUACUGUUUGUUCUGCCAGCAGCCUUGGUAUAAAGUAUAAAAAUCGGACUCGUCUCGCAGUACUGUUUCCAGUUCGAUUCCAUGCAAUGGCCGCCGCAUCAGCUGUCGAUUGGCGAAUUCGGGCCGGAAAACAAUGCUGAAAACGAUGGUGGGAAUGGGAAUGGAGGUGAAGGAGCAGGUGGAGGCGAAGGUGGAGACAACCAGACCAGACCAAGCCAAGGCAGAGGCAGAGACAGAAAGGCUUCGGCAAUUAUUUUCGUUCCUCUUUGGUAUGGGCCACUCACACAUACAUACAUAUAUACAUAAUUUGCAUUGCGGAUAAGAUGGUGUGGGUGCGAAACCAGAAUGACUGGCAACAGGAUACGAGGAUGGAGGAGGGGGAAGCGCAAGUAAGGUAGAGAGGGCAACUGUAAAAGGACACGAGAUGUGGCUGCACUUGCCUCACGAUCAAUUAUGCAGGUAGUUGUGCUCCGAGGACAAGGUGCAAAAAAAUGGAGUACAGUAAAUAAUGCAUUAUAGGAAAAAAAAUACUUCGAAGGAAUAGUUUGUCUAAAUUAUGAUUGGAACAAGGCGAAAAGCAAAGAGAAUCACAUCCAAAUUCUACCAGCCCUAAUCCAUUUUGAACAAUUCCCUUGGAAUAACUGUUUUCUGCAUUAUUCUGGAACGAUAGUCACUGGGUUGCCUCUGGCGUUCUAAGGAUGUGGUGGGGCAUUCCCAACUUCGUCCAAGAAGAGCAUGUUCGAUAUACUCUUUUAUCGGAACCAGAAUUACCUCGAACAUUGUGUCCUGUGAAAGCAAGUUACCAUAUACGGAAUGCUGUGUUUAAUUUAAACUUGGAUUUAGACGGCCAAUUUUGUGGUGGCUGCUGCUGGUUUACCUGGCCUGCGCAUGUAACUUUAUCAGCUGACCCGACGGACGCUUACCAACACUGGCUAGCCAUUUACAACAAACACCCACAGAGCUCCCGCUCCGCUCCCAAUGGCGAACGGAAACUUUAUAACAAUGCAACCUUGGACACAUGAAAAAGCUUGCUGCUUACACCAUUUAUUUACCUAAAUUAAUGUUAGAUGAUACUGCCGCUUCUUGCACUGCCACUUCCACGGUUGACGCUUUUCGCUUUCCACUCGCUUCCAAUCGAUAUCCAGCAACAACAACAUACACUGAUCGGAUCUUUCUCACCGCAUCUAACAUUCCAAGGCGGAGGAGUAGCGGCAAUGGAGUCCUGCUAUUCCAAUUUGCGCGUUCGCUCGCACUCACUCACUGGAAAGUGGGGGAGCGGGAACGUUUACGGGAACGGAAGCGGGAACGGAGCGUGCUCUUUGGGAGAACGUGAGUGAGACGGCGAACUAAAGAGAGAGGGAGUUCCGAAGGAUGUUGAUGCCUGGCGGAGGCGAAAACUUUUCUGCGCCGCGUUUUUCACUUCCACUAUCAAUGCCACACUUAUGCAAAUAUCGAACACUGCCCCAAGCGCCAAUGAAUAUUGUUUUUUCGAAGGGUUUUCCUUUUGUAUUUUGUAUUUUAUUUGUAAGUAAAUAAUUGCUCGCUAUUG
This 1890-nucleotide unclassified non-coding RNA is filed under the name Drosophila ananassae. RNAcentral describes it as "GF16336". The record is from RNAcentral. Lineage: Eukaryota; Metazoa; Arthropoda; Insecta; Diptera; Drosophilidae.